GACGAACGCUGGCGGCGUGCCUAAUACAUGCAAGUCGAACGCACUCUCGUUUAGAUUGAAGGAGCUUGCUCCUGAUUGAUAAACAUUUGAGUGAGUGGCGGACGGGUGAGUAACACGUGGGUAACCUGCCCUAAAGUGGGGGAUAACAUUUGGAAACAGAUGCUAAUACCGCAUAAAACCUAACACCGCAUGGUGUAGGGUUGAAAGAUGGUUUCGGCUAUCACUUUAGGAUGGACCCGCGGUGCAUUAGUUAGUUGGUGAGGUAAAGGCUCACCAAGACCGUGAUGCAUAGCCGACCUGAGAGGGUAAUCGGCCACACUGGGACUGAGACACGGCCCAGACUCCUACGGGAGGCAGCAGUAGGGAAUCUUCCACAAUGGACGAAAGUCUGAUGGGGCAACGCCGCGUGAGUGAAGAAGGUUUCGGAUCGUAAAACUCUGUUGUUGGAGAAGAAUGUAUCUGAUAGUAACUGAUCAGGUAGUGACGGUAUCCAACCAGAAAGCCACGG
This 508-nucleotide ribosomal RNA is filed under the name uncultured bacterium. Its description in RNAcentral is "bacterial SSU rRNA". It matches the Rfam family "Bacterial small subunit ribosomal RNA", at positions 28 to 496 of the family's 1533-position model. The record is from RNAcentral.